GAUGAACGCUGGCGGCGUGCCUAAUACAUGCAAGUCGAGCGAAUGGAUUGAGAGCUUGCUCUUAUGAAGUUAGCGGCGGACGGGUGAGUAACACGUGGGUAACAUGCCCAUAAGACUGGGAUAACUCCGGGAAACCGGGGCUAAUACCGGAUAACAUUUUGAACCGCAUGGUUCGAAAUUGAAAGGCGGCUUCGGCUGUCACUUAUGGAUGGACCCGCGUCGCAUUAGCUAGUUGGUGAGGUAACGGCUCACCAAGGCAACGAUGCGUAGCCGGCCUGGGAGGGGGAUCGGCGAAACUAGGACUGGGGCACGGCCCAGACUCCUACGGGAGGCAGCAGUAGGGAAUCUUCCGCAAUGGACGAAAGUCUGACGGAGCAACGCCGCGUGAGUGAUGAAGGCUUUCGGGUCGUAAAACUCUGUUGUUAGGGAAGAACAAGUGCUAGUUGAAUAAGCUGGCACCUUGACGGUACCUAACCAGAAAGCCACGGCUAACUACGUGCCAGCCGCCGCAGUAA
Molecule: ribosomal RNA, 515 nt
Filed under: uncultured bacterium
Lineage: Bacteria
Description: partial 16S ribosomal RNA
Rfam family: Bacterial small subunit ribosomal RNA
Source: RNAcentral